AUCCCGCAGCAAUGCGGGAUGAUGGCGACCGGCAAACGGGUGCGGAACACGUACAGAACCUUCCUUCGAGCGGGGAAUAGCCCAGAGAAAUUUGGAUUAAUACCCCAUAGUAUAACGGAGUGGCAUCACUUUGUUAUUGAAGAUUUAUCACUUGAAGAUGGCUGUGCGGCUGAUUAGGUAGUUGGCGGGGUAACGGCCCACCAAGCCUGCGAUCAGUAACUGGUGUGAGAGCACGACCAGUCACACGGGCACUGAGACACGGGCCCGACUCCUACGGGAGGCAGCAGUAAGGAAUAUUGGUCAAUGGACGAAAGUCUGAACCAGCCAUGCCGCGUGGAGGAUGAAGGUCCUCUGGAUUGUAAACUUCUUUUAUAUGGGACGAAAAAAGGCUUUUCUAAGUCGUCUGACGGUACCAUAUGAAUAAGCACCGGCUAACUCCGUGCCAGCAGCCGCGGUAAUACGGAGGGUGCAAGCGUUAUCCGGAUUCACUGGGUUUAAAGGGUGCGUAGGUGGGACUGUAAGUCCGUGGUGAAAUCUCCGAGCUUAACUUGGAAACUGCCAUGGAUACUAUAGUUCUUGAAUACUGUGGAGGUCAGCGGAAUAUGUCAUGUAGCGGUGAAAUGCUUAGAUAUGACAUAGAACACCAAUUGCGAAGGCAGCUGGCUACACAAAUAUUGACACUGAGGCACGAAAGCGUGGGGAUCAAACAGGAUUAGAUACCCUGGUAGUCCACGCCCUAAACUAUGGAUACUCGACAUACGCGAUACACGGUGUGUGUCU
This 780-nucleotide ribosomal RNA is filed under the name uncultured bacterium. RNAcentral's name for it is "bacterial SSU rRNA". It matches the Rfam family "Bacterial small subunit ribosomal RNA", at positions 71 to 848 of the family's 1533-position model. The record is from RNAcentral.